AUCUUUCUAGUAUUAAAUUAAUACAAGUGACUUCCAAUCAUUUAAUCUUGGUUAGAUCCCAGGGAAAGAUA
Molecule: transfer RNA, 71 nt
Filed under: Acheilognathus meridianus
Lineage: Eukaryota; Metazoa; Chordata; Actinopteri; Cypriniformes; Acheilognathidae
Description: tRNA-Gly
Rfam family: tRNA
About the family: Transfer RNA (tRNA) molecules are approximately 80 nucleotides in length.
Source: RNAcentral